Molecule: small nuclear RNA, 108 nt
Filed under: Petromyzon marinus (sea lamprey)
Lineage: Eukaryota; Metazoa; Chordata; Hyperoartia; Petromyzontiformes; Petromyzontidae
Source: RNAcentral
GUACUUGCUCCGGCAGUACAUAAACUAAAAUUGGAACGAUACAGAGAAGAUUAGCAUGGCCCCCUGCGCAAGGACGACACGCAAAUUCGAGAGAGAGACAGGGUGGAG